RNAcentral lists this ribosomal RNA (1275 nucleotides) under Epibryon interlamellare. RNAcentral's name for it is "eukaryotic LSU rRNA". It matches the Rfam family "Eukaryotic large subunit ribosomal RNA", at positions 61 to 1353 of the family's 3401-position model. Lineage: Eukaryota; Fungi; Ascomycota; Eurotiomycetes; Chaetothyriales; Epibryaceae. The record is from RNAcentral.
GAAACCAACAGGGAUUACCUCAGUAACGGCGAGUGAAGCGGUAAUAGCUCAAAUUUGAAAUCUGGCUCUCUCAGGGUCCGAGUUGUAAUUUGUAGAGGAUGUUUCGGGCACGGUUACGGUUUAAAUUUCUUGGAACAGAAUGUCAUAGAGGGUGAGAGUCCCGUCUUGAACCGAUUACUUCGUCCAUGUGAAACUCCUUCGACGAGUCGAGUUGUUUGGGAAUGCAGCUCAAAAUGGGUGGUAAAUUUCAUCUAAAGCUAAAUAUUGGCCAGAGACCGAUAGCGCACAAGUAGAGUGAUCGAAAGAUGAAAAGCACUUUGAAAAGAGAGUUAAACAGUAUGUGAAAUUGUUGAAAGGGAAGCGCUUGCAAUCAGACUUGAGCUUAACAGUUCCCCCUUCGUUCUCGUUGGGUUACUCUGUUUUGUCCAGGCCAACAUCAGUUCGAGUGGUUGGUUAAAGGCUUUAGAAAUGUAUCUACCCUCCGGGGUCGACUUAUAGUCUAGAGUGUCAUGCAGCCUACUUGGACUGAGGAACGCGCUUCGGCUCGGAUGUUGGCGUAAUGGUUGUAAGCGACCCGUCUUGAAACACGGACCAAGGAGUCUAACAUCUAUGCGAGUCUUUGAGUGGUUAAACUCACAGGCGUAAUGAAAGUGAACGGAGGUAAGAAGCCUUAAGGCUGCAUUAUCGACCGAUCCUGAUGUCUUCGGAUGGAUUUGAGUAAGAGCAUAGCUGUGGGGACCCGAAAGAUGGUGAACUAUGCCUGAAUAGGGUGAAGCCAGAGGAAACUCUGGUGGAGGCUCGCAGCGGUUCUGACGUGCAAAUCGAUCGUCAAAUUUGGGUAUAGGGGCGAAAGACUAAUCGAACCAUCUGGUAGCUGGUUCAUGCCGAAGUUUCCCUCAGGAUAGCAGUAACGUUUUCAGUUUUAUGAGGUAAAGCGAAUGAUUAGAGGCCUUGGGGCUAAAUUAGCCUUAACCUAUUCUCAAACUUUAAAUAUGUAAGAAGUCCUUGUUACUUAAUUGAACGUGGACAUUUGAAUGUAUCGUUACUAGUGGGCCAUUUUUGGUAAGCAGAACUGGCGAUGCGGGAUGAACCGAACGUGAGGUUAAGGUGCCGGAAUACACGCUCAUCAGACACCACAAAAGGUGUCAAUGCAUCUAGACAGCCGGACGGUGGCCAUGGAAGUCGGAAUCCGCUUAGGAGUGUGUAACAACUCACCGGCCGAAUGCAUUGGCCCUGAAAAUGGAUGGCGCUUAAGCGUGUUACCUAUACCUCGCC